Molecule: ribosomal RNA, 253 nt
Filed under: uncultured bacterium
Lineage: Bacteria
Description: partial 16S ribosomal RNA
Rfam family: Bacterial small subunit ribosomal RNA
Source: RNAcentral
UACGUAGGUGACAAGCGUUGUCCGGAUUUACUGGGCGUAAAGAGCGCGCAGGCGGUCGAUCAAGUCGAGUGUGAAAGCCCCCGGCUCAACUGGGGAGGGUCAUUCGAUACUGAUCGACUCGAAGGCAGGAGAGGGUAGUGGAAUUCCCGGUGUAGUGGUGAAAUGCGUAGAUAUCAAGUGGAACACCAGUGGCGAAGGCGAGUCCCUGGACAACUCCUGACACUGAGGCACGAAAGCUAGGGGAGCAAACAGG